This 570-nucleotide ribosomal RNA is filed under the name Polycephalomyces formosus. Its description in RNAcentral is "LSU rRNA". It matches the Rfam family "Eukaryotic large subunit ribosomal RNA", at positions 62 to 648 of the family's 3401-position model. Lineage: Eukaryota; Fungi; Ascomycota; Sordariomycetes; Hypocreales; Polycephalomycetaceae. The record is from RNAcentral. RNAcentral also lists the same sequence under 1 other name.
AAACCAACAGGGAUUGCCCCAGUAACGGCGAGUGAAGCGGCAGCAGCUCAAAUUUGAAAUCUGGCCGCCCCCCGGGGGGGCCCGAGUUGUAAUUUGCAGAGGAUGCUUUUGGCGCGGCGCCUUCCGAGUUCCCUGGAACGGGACGCCAUAGAGGGUGAGAGCCCCGUCUGGUCGGACGCCCAGCCUCUGUAAAGCUCCUUCGACGAGUCGAGUAGUUUGGGAAUGCUGCUCUAAAUGGGAGGUAUAUGUCUUCUAAAGCUAAAUACCGGCCAGAGACCGAUAGCGCACAAGUAGAGUGAUCGAAAGAUGAAAAGCACUUUGAAAAGAGGGUUAAACAGUACGUGAAAUUGUUGAAAGGGAAGCGCUCAUGACCAGACUUGGGCCGGGCGAAUCAUCCGGCGUUCUCGCCGGUGCACUUCGCCGGGCCCAGGCCAGCAUCAGUCCGCCGCGGGGGACAAAGGCGUCGGGAACGUGGCUCCCCCGGGAGUGUUAUAGCCCGUCGCGCAAUGCCCUGCGGGCGGACUGAGGUUCGCGCUCCGCAAGGAUGCUGGCGUAAUGGUCAUCAGCGAC